RNAcentral lists this ribosomal RNA (357 nucleotides) under Triticum aestivum (bread wheat). Its description in RNAcentral is "partial small subunit ribosomal RNA". The record is from RNAcentral. Lineage: Eukaryota; Viridiplantae; Streptophyta; Magnoliopsida; Poales; Poaceae.
AUGGUGCCUCGUCGCCGCGCGGAGGGAGACCCACCCCCUGUCUACGAAACAAUCGACUAUGCAUCAAAUUUCAGUCUUUGCAUCAAUUUUGAUGGUUAUUUCCUUGGAGUUGGUAAAAAUCGUGCAUAUGUGAAUGGAAAAAGCAUAUGGUAUGAUUAUGUUGAGGGGGAUGCACUCACGGUGGAUAAGUUGGAAGAUUUAGUAGAACAAUUGGGAUAUGAAGUUCAGGGAAGACUACACAUGUAUUACUGUAUGCCUGGGAAACCAAUGAACGAAGGAGGCCUUGUGAAGAUAACUUGCAAUGACAAUUGUUUGAACAUGAGGGCACAUGUGACAUUUGGACACAAGUACCCGUAG